RNAcentral lists this long non-coding RNA (2248 nucleotides) under Paramuricea clavata. The record is from RNAcentral. Lineage: Eukaryota; Metazoa; Cnidaria; Anthozoa; Malacalcyonacea; Plexauridae.
GAUGCAUCGAAAGGACUCAAAUUGGAAGAGAUAGCAAACGGUGGUCGAUGGUUGAAUGGGCCCGACUUUUUGUGGAAAGAUAAGUCAUGUUGGCCAGCGAAAGUUUCUCAUACGGUCAUAGAGGACGAUGACCCUGCAUUGCGAAAGGCGAAUUUGGUUUACACAACGAGUGCAAGUGAAAGCCCGUUGGAAUCGUUGAUUAAGCGUUAUUCAAGCUGGUGGAAGCUGAAGAGAGUGGUGGCUUGGCUUUUGCGUUACCGAAGGAAUUUGAUGAAAAGAGUUAAAGAGAAGAUUGUUGAGAAUGUGAACGAUAACUUGCGUGGCGAAGAAAGAGUACCAAACCUCACAGUCGAAGAGCUUCGAAAUGCAGAGCUAAACAUUGUACGAUAUGUGCAGUCGACAUCAUUCCCUGCGGUGAUAAAGAUACUCGGAUCUCAACCAGCCAAAAUUGGAACAAAUCAGAAGAAAACGCUCAAAGAUAGCUCACUACAGAAAUUAAAUCCCGAGUUAAAAGAUGGCACGCUGGUGGUUGGUGGGCGACUGAAGCACGCAGGAGUGAAUGACGAAGCGAAGCAUCCAAUAAUUUUGCCGUAUACGCAUCGAGUGACUGACUUGGUUAUCGAGCAGGUUCAUAUUGAAGUCGGACAUAUGGGUCAAGAAUCGGUACUUUCGGCUUUGAGAGAGCAUUAUUGGAUUGUGAAAGGAAGAUCGGCAGUGCGACAAGUUAUCUCUCGCUGUUUGGAAUGCCAGAAAGCAAAGAAUAAGCCUGGAAAGCAACUAAUGGCAGAUCUCCCUGAAGAGAGAGUGACCCCAUACAAACCACCAUUUACCGCAACAGGAGUGGACUAUUUUGGACCUUUGGAGGUGAAGCAACGAAGAAGCAAAGUAAAACGGUAUGGUUGCAUAUUUACUUGCUUGUCGGUGAGGGCUGUCCACAUCGAGAUAGCCCAUUCGUUAGACACUGAUUCAAUGAUCAAUGCCUUGAGAAGGUUUAUCUGCCUACGUGGGUGCCCAGAGAUAAUUCGAAGUGACCGUGGAACAAAUUUUAAAGGUGCCGACAAGGAGUUGACAGCUGCAAUACAGAAAUGGAACCAAGAGAAAAUCGAGAACUUUUGUAACCAAAAGGGUAUUCAGUGGUUAUUCAAUCCACCAGACGCAAGUCACUUUGGUGGAGUUUGGGAACGAUGAUUAGAUCAACACGCCAAGUCUUGCGAGCUUUAAUGAAAGAACAAGUGGUAUGUGAUGAAGUUUUGGCGACAGUUAUGUCAGAAGCGACGAAUAUUCUGAACAGCCGUCCACUGACGCGCAACAGUGAUGAUCCAAGCGACGAACAACCCAUAACACCCAAUCAUCUACUAAAAUUGAGACCAUGUCCCACUCUACCACCUGGAAUUUUUGAUGAUUCAGAUCUACACACUCAGCGCCGUUGGAGACAAGCCCAAUAUAUGGUGAAUGUGUUCUGGAAGAGGUGGUUGAAGGAAUAUCUUCCUUCUCUACAAGAGCGCCAGAAGUGGAAUAACAAGCAACCAAACUGGAAAGUUGAUGAUCUAGUGCUGAUUAUGGAUGGAAAUUAUCCUAGAGGACAAUGGCCUGUUGGCAGAGUGGUGGAAAUCUUCGCGAGUGAUGACGGAUUGGUACGGACAGUUAAUGUAAAAACAAGUUCGACUGUUGUUACACGGGCGAAGCGGCAACGUCGUGGUGAAUUGAAAACAACGAGCACAAUCCUUACUCGUCCAAUACACAAGUUAUGUCGGUUGGAACUGGAAUAACAUUGUUGAAGAGACUUUGAUGUUGAUAUAUUAAGAACUACUGACAAGUUGUUGUUUAUCACUUUGUAGGAUUGGUAGCACUAAUUAGAUUAAAUGGACAAACUCGUCCAUUUAGGGGCCGGUGUAGCUACCAAUCAGUGUAUAUAUAGAGUUCAGUGGGAAAGCCGCCCCAUAAAACAUUUCGGGUUUGGACGGCCAUAUUGAAUUUUGAACACGAGAAGUAAACAUUUUGAGUAUUUAUAGAACAUAUAUUGAGGAUUUUGUUAGUAGAAACUUGCUUUAUUGAACGACCGAUACAGUCGGUAAGUUUUUGAACACUUAUUGUUGACAAUUUUAAUGUAUUUGUAUAUUAAUUUUAGUUUAACUUGCAGAAAACCUGCUGUUUAUAUUGGUGGAAAUAGUAAUAUACGAUAUAAAGUGGAAAAUAAUAGUGGAAAAUUGGCGUAUAUUUGUUGAGUUUUGACUAUCGAUCGUACGGG